AAAACAAGGAAUUGCUCCUUCCUUCUAGAGGUCUUUGCGCUGGGACGUUGACGAAAUUAUCUCGCUCGAUUGACCUCUCAUCUCAGCUCAUAUCACCCCACUGCCACCCCUUGGCAGUUUUGCACAAAGCUUCUCUCAUAUUCCUAUCGAAUUGUACGUUUAGUAGCGAGUAUCACAUGGUCACAGAGCACCUGUAGUUUGUGAAAAAAGAACAGUGGCCUUUCUGCAAAAGGCCGCGCAUCCUUUUUAUAUCUUGCCUUUCCCCUCCCGUUCCGUUCCCGUCUCGCUCUCGCAUCGGCCAACAACGCUUCACGGCAAAAUCCUUCCACAGGCGGGGGAGUCGCCUCACCUCACUUCACCCCGUUCAUCCCCAGCGAAGAAGCAAAAUACUUAGCACACCAGUGAUGGCGGCUACUUACCAAACUGGCCUUGUGGCCGAGCCACAGUUGCUGAACACUGAAAUUAUCACUCGGAGGGCCACCAACUCUGUUGCUGACACUAACAGAAAAGACAAAUGCGUCGGCUACUUGGAUGUGUUUGUACACCAAGCACGCGACAUCCACAAUGUUUGUAUCUAUCACAAGCAGGAUGUGUAUGCAAAGCUGUGCCUCACGAGCAGCCCUGAUGUUUCGUGCUCAACCAAGGUGAUCAACAGUGCUGGGCGCAACCCAGUAUUUGAGGAAAGCCUACGCCUUGAUGUGCAAACUGUGGAUGCUUCUCUCAAGUGCGAGAUAUGGAUGUUAAGCAGAGUGAGGAACUACCUGGAGGAUCAGCUCCUUGGCUUUGCCCUUGUUCCUCUGGUAGACAUUGUAAUUGGUAAUGGAAAGCUGGUCCAGGAGUUCUCCUUGACAUCUACUGACCUAUUCCACACACCAGCUGGAUUUGUGCACUUGUCCUUGUCAUAUGCUGGUUGUUCCCCAGAUGUUGUCCUCAUCUCAUCACCCAAUAAGUCCCCAUCAACAGUGGAUGAUUCUGGAAAUGAUCAUGUGGUUCCUGCUCAGCUUGAGAAGAUUGUGUUCCCAGACCUAAAUGUGGAGAAGGAAGACGAGAUUAUGGUCUCAAAGUAUCUCGAGAUGACUUCAGACUCUGAAACCCCUAUAAAAGUUGAGAACGUCAUGUCACUGCAUUCUGCAAAUGAUGAUGAUGUUCCUUCUAAACUUGAAAAGAUCAAGUUCAUAGAUUCUGAGAGCCGUGCGAAAGCUGAAAAUGGCAAGAUGCUACUAUUUGGUGUAGCUGUGCCUAGUACUGCAAUUUGUGCAGAUAAGGUUGAGGAACACCGCGAUGAAAGCCCUCUAAGUUGUGUCUCAACCACAGGCUCCUCCACUACCCUUUCUGCAACAACACAAUCAGUUUCUGAGCCUUCGGAGACCAGUGUCGAGGCAUCCCCUAGACAAUGCCAUAGGGAGAAAAGCCAAGAUGUUACAGGUGGUGAGGCUAAUUCUUCUGAAACACCAGCAAAGGAUGAAGUUAUCAAGCCUGUGAUCUGCGUUAACCUUCAGCCAGAGCAGUCAGUUGUCCAACAGGACAUAGUUGACAUGUACAUGAAGAGCAUGCAACAGUUCACAGAAUCUCUUGCAAAAAUGAAACUUCCAUUGGACGUUGAGAAUACUAGUCCCUCAAACGAUGAUUCAUACUCCAGUACAAUUGAGAAGACAUCCCCAUCCCCAUCUUCAUCUGCAGCAAAGGGUUCUAGGGUCUUUUAUGGAAGCAGGGCCUUCUUUUAAGUUUCUAAUGCAAAGUAGUACACUAGCUCGUUACUAUCUCCUACAUACAUAUACAUGGUUCCAGGUUUAUCAGAUAUCUUCUGGCAUGUAAUCACAUACUUUCUGUCUCCAUAAUAUGCUUCUAGGACUCACUCCUGGUAUUGCUAUUAGUGUUAUGCUUUGUUAGAAGAUAAUAAUUUCAUCUCAUAGUAAUCCCAUGUACUAAUACAUACCCAUGAAAUAUAAUGUCAUGAAAUCAGUUCUGACUCGAGAUUAAUUCCUGCACUGUAUUGUGACCAGGUGGGGACUCUUCGUCCCCCCCGUUGCCCUGUCAAAAAGAAGUAUUGUGUUUAUCUGAAGGUCUGGGUGACAGGUGAAUCAUAUUCUGCUUCUCAGAAAUAGGUAGAGGCACGACCAUGACAGAGCACUAGAGCAGCAAUGGCUGCUGGGUGAAACAUUUUAUUUUCAUCAAGAAAAGCAGGAACUGGAAGCUGCGAUUGUUUCCUUGUCAUAAUUUACAUUGCAACUUUAAAAAGAUGGUGCUAAGUGAUAACGUGAUAUCACGGGCACUUGUUUCUAGUGAAGUAGCAUUUGAGGAAAAACCAUGUGACUUCUGUAGUUCUGUUCUUGAAUAAUGUAGGAGAGCUGCCUACCUUGUAUUGUGAUUUGUGAAAGGAAGAGAAUAUUUGUACA
Molecule: RNA transcript, 2396 nt
Organism: Zea mays
Lineage: Eukaryota; Viridiplantae; Streptophyta; Magnoliopsida; Poales; Poaceae
Exons: 3
Source: RefSeq, marked validated